RNAcentral lists this ribosomal RNA (472 nucleotides) under uncultured bacterium. RNAcentral describes it as "bacterial SSU rRNA". It matches the Rfam family "Bacterial small subunit ribosomal RNA", at positions 335 to 803 of the family's 1533-position model. The record is from RNAcentral.
ACUCCUACGGGAGGCAGCAGUGGGGAAUAUUGCACAAUGGGGGAAACCCUGAUGCAGCCAUGCCGCGUGUGUGAAGAAGGCCUUCGGGUUGUAAAGCACUUUCAGUAGGGAGGAAGGUAGUGUAGUUAACACCUGCACUAUUUGACGUUACCUACAGAAGAAGCACCGGCUAACUCCGUGCCAGCAGCCGCGGUAAUACGGAGGGUGCGAGCGUUAAUCGGAAUUACUGGGCGUAAAGCGCAUGCAGGCGGCCUGUUAAGUCAGAUGUGAAAGCCCGGGGCUUAACCUCGGAAUUGCAUUUGAAACUGGCAGGCUAGAGUCUGUAGAGGGGUUAGAAUUUCAGGUGUAGCGGUGAAAUGCGUAGAGAUCGUGAAGGAAUACCAGUGGCGAAGGCGGCCCCUGGACAAAGACUGACGCUCAGAUGCGAAAGCGUGGGAGCAAACAGGAUUAGAUACCCCGUGGUAGCGACUGA